Alosa sapidissima (American shad) is the source of this 692-nucleotide long non-coding RNA. RefSeq lists it as uncharacterized. NCBI's taxonomy places the organism in Eukaryota, Metazoa, Chordata, Actinopteri, Clupeiformes, Clupeidae. The record is from RefSeq and is a predicted model, not a curated record. The transcript is spliced from 3 exons.
AAAGUGACAUCCCUGUCGCCCGACAUCCACAAAAUUGUGACCGAAGGGAGGAGCCACUUUUCCCAUUAAGAGCAGCGCAGAUCCUUCUCCCACGCGGCCAAUGUGCAUUCAUCUUUUCUUUCACUUUCACUUCUUUCGUUAUGUUUCAUUUUAAUUGGACCAUUUCAUAUUUGAGCAGACCUUGUUAUGUUAUUAAUGUAACGAAACAUAGGCUAUUUUUGACCUUGCUCACUGGAAGAGGGAGAAGGGACACUUUUGUUUUGUUUUUUUUGCACGCGCACUCGCGUGCCAUUACCGUUCCGACCUGUGCGUCAUGGAUAACUGCAAGGAUGUUCCACCUGUUGUUUUGUCACUUUAGUAGGACUAACAUCUAUACCUCAAUAAAUGUUUCGAAAUUGAUGGGAUUGCUGUAGGCCUUUUUUCUUUUUAAAAACAUGGGGUUAAAAAAAAAAAUUCUGUUUUUUUUUUAUUUAAACAGCAAAUUAACGUCAUCUCGCGGGCCAGAUAGAAUAGAUGGCGGGCCAAAAUUGGCCCGCGGGCCACUAUUUGCCAACCCCUUCCCUACAGCCUGAAGACCUGCAAGGAGGAAUGGAGUGGUUAGAGAGGAGACAUACAGAAUAGCAUACAUACAGAAUUUUCAAAAGGACCUAGCACGCGGGCAAAUAAACAGCCAUGAAACAUUUACAUUGCCA